RNAcentral lists this transfer RNA (73 nucleotides) under Epinephelus hexagonatus (starspotted grouper). RNAcentral's name for it is "tRNA-Lys". It matches the Rfam family "tRNA". Rfam says of the family: Transfer RNA (tRNA) molecules are approximately 80 nucleotides in length. Their secondary structure includes four short double-helical elements and three loops (D, anti-codon, and T loops). Lineage: Eukaryota; Metazoa; Chordata; Actinopteri; Perciformes; Serranidae. The record is from RNAcentral.
CGCUAAAAAGCUAAAUAGGAGUAGCGCUAGCCUUUUAAGCUAGAAGUUGGUGGCUACCGACCACCUUUAGCGA